This 117-nucleotide ribosomal RNA is filed under the name Clostridia bacterium. The record is from RNAcentral. Lineage: Bacteria; Bacillati; Bacillota; Clostridia.
GUUGGUGUUUACAGCGCUGAGGGUCCACCCGUUCCCAUCCCGAACACGGUAGUUAAGCUCAGCUGUGCCGACAAUACUUGGCUGGAAGCGGCCCGGGAAAAUAGGACGAUGCCAACA